This 20-nucleotide small nuclear RNA is filed under the name Arabidopsis thaliana (thale cress). RNAcentral describes it as "snRNA_11235". Lineage: Eukaryota; Viridiplantae; Streptophyta; Magnoliopsida; Brassicales; Brassicaceae. The record is from RNAcentral.
CUAACAGCUAAAGUUUUGUG